ACGCAUUUGCCUGGCCUUUGACCUCGUUAUUGGGCCUUGUGGUAAUUUGAGCCCAUCACGUUCUUGAGCUUGAGUUGGGCCUUUAUGACUCGUAUCACCAUGGGUCUCCAUCGAGACAUUUUGUUCAUCUACUUCUUUCGUCAUUUUAACCGGUGGCUUUUUACAUUAGCUCAGUUACCAAUUGUCACAGGGCUAGAACUUAAGUUUGGCAAAUCACGCGACCUUAGGCAAUGUCUUUGUUUCAAAUUUGCCUAAGUCAGCCUUACUCUCAAAAAUAAGAAAUUCAAAAAGAAAAAGGCACUAAAAUAAAGCAAAAGCAAACUCACAAAUGAAGAAGCAAAAAGUGAACAAAAAAGCCAUAAGAAAACUAAGAAAACCAAGUGUUUGAGUAAAUACUCUCAAAAUAUAUUCAAUAACUUUUUUUUGAUCAAGUAUAUUCAAUAACUUUGAAUGGAAUACAAUGGGAUGAUUACAAAUGAGGGGGAAACCCUCUAUUUAUAGUUGAGCUCCCCCAUAUCCAAUGGUGCAGAUUGAAUUACAUCAAUGAUUGAGAUUAGUGUCUGUCUACAAGAUGAAAGUCCUAAGAGAUUUAAACUCUAUACAUCUUUAUCCCUUAGGAUUUACAAUAAUUGCCUUGGUAACUCUAGUUUUACUAGAGUGUUUCACUGGCCAGUUCAAGUGGAUCAAAUGAGCCCCAUUUAAUCAAUUGACCUCCAUGAGAAGCUCUGUGUGCAUUCGUCACGGGCUUUGAUCCGCGGCCCGUGACAUAAGAAUAAACUCAUAAUUAAUUAAAUAAUGAUUUCUAAUCUCGUGGUGAUUAAUAUUAAGUUUCAAUCAUAUUUAUUGUUGACACAUUUAUAAAAUUUUAUAAAAAAAUUUUAAUUAGUGUAUAAUUUUUUAUAAGAAAAAAAGAGAAGGGUUCAAAUUAACAAAAGUUGUAAAGGUUGAUUGGCUAAAUUAGUGAUUGUACCUAAUUUUUUAACAAAGUUAAUGAAAAAAAUUAAUGAAGGGACUGGAAAUGAGCAAAUAAAAAAAAUAGAGAGACUAAUUUUGAGCAAAUAAAAGUAGAGGGAUUAAAUCCGCACAAAUUGAUAAGUACAUAGACUAUCAUCAAAAUUUAACCUAUAGUCUAAUAUGGGUUCAAAAUUUAAUUAAGUGAUAAUAAUUGUAACACUAAUAAUAAAAAGUUAUUAAUAAAUUUAAUUUAUAUUUUAUAUAAAAAAUUUAAAAAUAAUUAUAAUUAUUUUAUUUUAUAUUAAUAUUUUUAUCAUAUUUAUUUAAAAGAAACAUGAGAGUAAAAAGGUACCUACACGAUCAAAUUAAUUGUUGUUAUUUCUUGUAAUAAUUAAUGGUAUGCGUAAUACCUAUAUAUAAUUUAUCUAAGACGAUUUUAUUAUUUUUAAUUUAUUUAAUUAUAUUCAAUGAAUUAAUAAUUAAUUAAUAUUACCUUUGUUAUUAUUCCAAUAAUAUAUUAAUAAAUUAUUAUUAUAUCAAUUUAAUAAUAUAAUAAAUGAUAAAAAAUAUUAUCAUUAAUUCAAACUUUCUUCUCAACUCAUCUUUUUACGUAAGUUAUAAGGUUAAUAUUAAUUGGUAAUUAGGAUUUUGGGUUUAAAGUAAUAUUUUUUAAUCAAAAUCAAAUCAAAUCAAAUCAUUGCAAAACCUAAGGGAGAAAGAAUCACAUAAAAUUCAUACAUAAUAUACACAUAAUUACAAUAAAAGCUAAACAAGAAACGAAUACGAUACUCUUACCCAAUAAUGCAAAACCUUCAUUGGCUUCUGGUUCCCUAGAAUUUGUUUAGUGUUUAUGAAUGUAUGAUGUUAUUCAAGAAAUCAUUAAAAAAAAGGAGUGAAGUGACAGUUAUAAUCUGUGCUUAGAGAUCAAAAUGUAUUGGUCCCUUUGCCUUGUUGGGUGGUGGGACCAGGCUUCAAGUAUCAACACUUUCAACUAAUUGAUACGAGCUCAAUUGUUGUUGCUUCGAGUCGUAUUAGUUUGUCCGAUCAUGAAUUUGGGGUAAAACUUGGUUCGUUUCAAGAGGGAUGGAAAAAAUAGAAGGUAGGCUUCAAAUAAGGUUUAAAAGGAAGCUGGUUAAACAAAGGAAUGGAUAAUUUGGCCAAACCCAGAGAAUGAACCAAAAAUAGAGUGAUUGUUGGCCUGAGUCUCAAAGUAGCUCUUUGGUGAAUUUCGAUUUAGGAAAUCAACAAAAAACCUUGACUCGUUAUCAAAUGUGAUUGGAACUAAAGGUAUAUGAACGCCACACUAGAAGUGAUAAGUUCGGAUUAACAAAGGAAAGAAUGACGCCACAAGACAACUUGAUAAGUCAAUUCAGUCCCGAAAAGAACAAGGAGAAUUGGAAAUCUCACAAGUUUCAAUUGAUUCAUACAAUUGGUAAAAAGUCCCUACAACAAGAAAUUAGCUAAGUAUUUAUAGCUAGAAAUCUAUGCUAGCCGAAUAGACACAUGGGCAACUAAAUGGACAAAUGUUUUCAGCUUUAAUGAGCUGAAACUUCUUUGAAAGUUCCUAGCAGCUUCCUUGAAGUUUCCUUGAGCAUGGAGGACGUCAAUAGUUAGCUUCUAGAUGCCUUGAUUCAGCUGAAAAUUAAUGAAGUGAUUGGGAGCUGAAUUGACUUAAUUAGGUUCGGCCCAAGGGUAUGAACCAUCUUUAAUAGGCUGCCUUGAAGAGCUG
RNAcentral lists this long non-coding RNA (2683 nucleotides) under Gossypium barbadense (sea-island cotton). Its description in RNAcentral is "long non-coding RNA (GBAR_LNC018036)". The record is from RNAcentral. Lineage: Eukaryota; Viridiplantae; Streptophyta; Magnoliopsida; Malvales; Malvaceae.